AUGAACAGCAGGGCAAGAGAAGAAAGAGGCAGCAACAGGAGGUUGGAGAAGGGAGAAGCAGCAGUAGGAAGAGAAGAAGAAGAUCAACAGCACGGGGGCGCUCACACGGAGGACCAGACGCCCGUGACCCUCUUGUCUGGUCGGGCGCGCAAGGUGCGACGGUGGCUGGAGAUGGUGGCGAUGGUGGAUGGAUUUGGUGGUGUGGUGGGUGGUGGAGAUGGCGCGGUGGAGCUGGUGGAGGCGUGGGGAGGAGCUGAUGACGCGCCACCACGCCGGCCUAGCCGUGGCGGCGGCCGGAGUAGGAGAAGGAGGGGUGAGGGAGAGAUUUGUGUGCCAGGCCCGAUUGCAAUGGAGAUGCGGCUAGGGAUUUUGAUCCCCUCCCAGAUCUGCAUUUUUGCACUUUUGCCCUCCUUCUUCUCUUCUUUAGCCUCAAGUAGAUCCCUUUCUUCUUUAGUUUUGGCCCUCCAUUUCUUUAAUUCUUCAUACUCGAGUCCCCCCUUCUCUUCUAUUGGCCCUCGGUCUUGUAUCCUCUUUCUUUGUAGACAAGAUCUUCAAGAUUAUAGUGCCUUAUCGCACUUUUCUGCAAAAUAA
RNAcentral lists this ribosomal RNA (591 nucleotides) under Triticum aestivum (bread wheat). Its description in RNAcentral is "partial small subunit ribosomal RNA". The record is from RNAcentral. Lineage: Eukaryota; Viridiplantae; Streptophyta; Magnoliopsida; Poales; Poaceae.